AUAGAUGCUCGUGUGGGGAUACUAUGGAUAUAAUGCAAAUGCUCAUUAGAGAAUGAGUUUACUGAUUGAUCCGCUCACGGAAUAUUGGAUGGUUGAUGAUGUCUUAUUGUUAGGCAAUGAUUCCGUAGUCCCAAUGGUAUAUCUAGUCCUUAGACUUGAGACACCAAGGAUAUCUUGUAUGAGUACUCCACUCUCUGAUACCAGAC
Molecule: long non-coding RNA, 206 nt
Filed under: Musa acuminata (dwarf banana)
Lineage: Eukaryota; Viridiplantae; Streptophyta; Magnoliopsida; Zingiberales; Musaceae
Description: long non-coding RNA (MACU_LNC010168)
Source: RNAcentral